This 404-nucleotide ribosomal RNA is filed under the name uncultured bacterium. RNAcentral describes it as "bacterial SSU rRNA". It matches the Rfam family "Bacterial small subunit ribosomal RNA", at positions 355 to 776 of the family's 1533-position model. The record is from RNAcentral.
UGGGGAAUAUUGCACAAUGGGGGAAACCCUGAUGCAGCAACGCCGCGUGAGCGAUGAAGGCCUUCGGGUUGUAAAGCUCUGUCUUCAGGGACGAUAAUGACGGUACCUGAGGAGGAAGCCACGGCUAACUACGUGCCAGCAGCCGCGGUAAUACGUAGGUGGCAAGCGUUGUCCGGAAUUAUUGGGCGUAAAGGAUGCGUAGGUGGUCCUUUAAGUGGGAUGUGAAAUCCCUGGGCUUAACCCAGGAAUUGCAUUCCAAACUGGAGGACUAGAGUGCAGGAGAGGAAAGUGGAAUUCCCAGUGUAGCGGUGAAAUGCGUAGAGAUUGGGAGGAACACCAGUGGCGAAGGCGGCUUUCUGGACUGUAACUGACACUGAGGCAUGAAAGCGUGGGGAGCAAACAGG